UGCUCCUACGGGGCGCAGCAGUAGGGAAUCUUCCACAAUGGGCGAAAGCCUGAUGGAGCAACGCCGCGUGGGUGAAGAAGGUCUUCGGAUCGUAAAACCCUGUCGUUAGAGAAGAAAGUGCGUGAGAGUAACUGUUCACGUUUCGACGGUAUCUAACCAGAAAGCCACGGCUAACUACGUGCCAGCAGCCGCGGUAAUACGUAGGUGGCAAGCGUUAUCCGGAUUUAUUGGGCGUAAAGGGAACGCAGGCGGUCUUUUACGUCUGAUGGGAAAGCCUUCGGCUUAAACGGAGUAGUG
This 297-nucleotide ribosomal RNA is filed under the name uncultured bacterium. Its description in RNAcentral is "partial 16S ribosomal RNA". It matches the Rfam family "Bacterial small subunit ribosomal RNA", at positions 334 to 623 of the family's 1533-position model. The record is from RNAcentral.